GGCACAGCUGGUGGAUCUCUGCUUCAGCUUGGACUGAUGGCCUGUGCAUGUGCUCUGAGCUGGUCAGACUGGCUCAUACCAAUAAAUCCAGCAAGAUUUGUUGGAAGGGACACAGUCACAUACAGACCUGUCUAAAUGGCUCUAGAGUUUCAGCUAGCUUUGAUGACUCUGGCUUGGAGAUGGCGCGUAACAGUCACUGCCUGCCAAUGGAGACUGGCCAUAAAUCCUAAAAAGUUGGCCCUAAGGAUUUAUGCACUUGAAGAACAGAACUUGCAACAUUAUCUUCUGGAGCACCUUCUAUCAACUUCCAGCAAUGUGUCAUUACCCAGCUAUACCAGUUUCAGCAGGGUUCUUAGUCCAAGCAACCAUCCCAUUCUAAGAGGGUAAAUACACUUAUUGGAGUGGACCUGAACUGUGUGACUACUCUAUUUCAGGACCUG
This is a long non-coding RNA of Harpia harpyja (harpy eagle), 440 nucleotides long. RefSeq lists it as uncharacterized. The transcript has 3 exons. The record is from RefSeq and is a predicted model, not a curated record. NCBI's taxonomy places the organism in Eukaryota, Metazoa, Chordata, Aves, Accipitriformes, Accipitridae.